Molecule: long non-coding RNA, 5955 nt
Filed under: Cucumis sativus (cucumber)
Lineage: Eukaryota; Viridiplantae; Streptophyta; Magnoliopsida; Cucurbitales; Cucurbitaceae
Description: long non-coding RNA (CSAT_LNC001714)
Source: RNAcentral
GAAUGUUGAACUUGCUCGUGAUCUCCUGAUUUAUGAUCUUGUGAGGUUUUAGUAUAUGAAAAACCCGUGCCAACCGGUAAAUCUAGAUAUAUUAUACUGGAGUUCUUUUGAUCAUAUUCAGCAUGAUUAAACAUAAUUAGUCGUAUAUAAAAUUAAAGUAGUGAAUUUAUUUCAUUAGGAACACAGGCAACUUAUAUAAGAAAAAAAAUGAAAGAAAGUGCAGAAAACAUAUAGUAAUAAACGUUGACCUGAGUCCAUGAGUAUGGGUUUAUGAGUACUUGAGGUAGGCUUCCCUCCUUUAGCUCUCCCUCAAAAUUGAUUGGACCUUUACAUAAACAAAUUAGAGAUCAAUAAUCACACAAUUAAACUUAUAAUUUUGGGCAUACCAUAUGUUUGUUUAAAAUCAAUUUUGGCAUUUUUAGAAGUUAUAAAGUAAAAUAUGUUGAUUUAAGAAUUUGUGUAAGAAGUCUUCUAACUUUACAAGAAUGCACGAAAUACAUAUAAAUAAAAUGAAGAAGGGAAGGAGAGAAAGUGAAGAUAGAGGUAAUUAAAUAGGAAAAAAAUUUACCACUCUCAAAAGCGAGACCAGAGAGAGAAGAGCAACGAGGGCCUCCGGUAAGCCACAGAAUGAGAGGAUCCGUUUUGGGAUUUGAAUAUGUUUUUACAAAGUAAUAAAACAAUUGAAACUCCUCCCGAUCUCCAACUCCUACGUAUCUGUUAAUUUGUUGAUCAACAUUAUUAGUUACCAAUUUCAAUCUUCUCCAAUAAAAUAAAAUAAUGAAUGUAUAUAUAAAACGAACCCUGUUUCCAGCGAGAAAGGAAGGUCCCCUGAGAAUCCGGGCAAAGAGUUCACCGUCCAGUGAGCAUAAGCGGAGGCAGAGAAUAGUGGAUGAAGAUGAAGAAGAAUGGAAAGAGAGAGGCGGAAGGAAAGAACCAUUGGGUCCAGGUGGUUAGUGGUGAGGGGAGAAAUCAUAAAUGGAACCAAUUAAACCAAUUGAUUAGGAUUUUUUUUUGUUCUUGUUGCACUCCUAUCUCUAAUUGACUUGUAAUUAUUGAAAUGUGACAAAGAAAGAGAAAAAACAAGGUGGAUGUAGGUAAGGUAUCGACAAAAUUUGCUCACCUCUUCCUAAUAAAUAAGUCUUCCUUUUCAACUGUAAUAAUAAUAAAAGAGAAUAGUAUUAUUUUGGAAUAACAUUAUUUUGAUAAUAAACUUUAAAAACGACAAUAUUUUAAUAAAACUAUGUUUAUUAUUUUGCAUCCUCCUGUAUUUAUUAAUUAUCUUGUAUAUGUUGUAUUAAUUAAUUAUCUUGAAUCAUACGCUAAUUGAUCAUCUUGUACAUUUUGCAUAUUGCUUAUAUUAUCCCUGUAUUUAUUUUAUCUCAGCAUAUUACCUUCAAGUAUUUUUUAAAUUUUAUAAUGUUUUAUCAUUGCUAUUAUUCAUUUUUCAAUUUAAAUAUAAAAAUGUAAAUUGGAGAAAAAGUAUUGUUUUUUUAUGGAUUUUAUAAUUUAAAUUCGAUUGAUACAUGAAAUUUCGUUUGAAAUUUAAUUAAUAGAUUGCUUUUAAUUUAACUAAUGUUAUUUAAUUAAUUUAAUUUAAAGAAAACAAUAAAUAAUAAAAAAAGAACGAAAGAAAAUCGGAAGUUUAUAAUAAAUAAUGAUUUAAUUUGCUAAUUUGCUAAUUUGCUAAUUUGCUAAUUUUCUAAUAAAAGAAAUACCAAUUUUUUUCUGCAACUUAAAUAGUUUUAAGUUUUAGAAUUCUAUUUUGUAAUUUUUUUUAUCCACUACUAUAAAAAGAAGUUUGAUCUAUCAUUUUUUUUUCACUUAACACUUUCACCAAAUAAUUCUCUAAUAUUUCAUAUUCACUUUGCUUUUUUCUACUUUUACUCUUUCACUUCCUUUAUCUCCACACGCGAGAAGAUAUUAAGUCAUCAAACUUGCAUAUUUGUUGUAAGCUCCAUGUUGCGGCAAAUAUUGAAUUGUAAUAUUUAUAUAUCUUCAAAAAUGUAUUUAAUCUCAAACACUCAUAAAAAAAAAUAUUUUCAUAUUAUCAUAUAUUUUAAUUUAUAUAAAUUUUAUUUUAAUUAUUUCUUUUUGUUGUUGUUUGAUGUUUAAUAAUUUUAUUUGUUAUGUAUUUUUUUAUUUUAAAAAUUAAUAAAAAGAUACCCUUUCUCCUCUCAAACAUAGAAAAUAGAUAUUGAUUUUCUUAUUUUAUAUUAUACAAGUUAAAUUAAGAGACAUUUUUUAAAAUAGUAAAAUCAAUUAAAAUAUUUACGAGGUAUAACAAAAUUUUUGGAUUUGAUCAAUGAUAGCCAUUAAUAUCAUUCUAUCAUUCAUUUCUCUCUUAUGGCUAUAUAUAAAUAUAUGUUAUUGAUAGAAUCUGAAAAUUUUGGUGUAUGUUGUUAUGACUAUUUUUGACAAUUUCUCAUAUAUUAAUAUAUUAUUAGAGAUUUAACUAAGAAUGUACAUAAAAAAUGGUAAAUUUGAUUCAUUUAACAAUGAGUGUAAGUUGAGUAAAAAUAAAUAAAAUGAAGAGUUUUAUCAAAUGAGAAAUCAGAAAUGGAAGGAAAGGAUGAGUUUAGAUUAGAUCCAUUUAUGGGUUUAUAGGAUUUUUGUUGCACUCCUAUCUCUACCACUGCUAGAGAUAAUAAUCUGCUUAUCUUUGAUUCACUUCUAACUAUUGAAAUGUAACAAAGAAAGAGAGAAAAAAAAAAACUACAACUGGGUAAUGUAUGGACAAAAAUUGCUCCACCUCUUUCUAAUAAAUAAACAUUGCUUUCAGGUGUAUAUAUACAUUAUUAAAAAAGUCCAAACCAUAAAACCACACCAACUAUUGAGUUACAUUUUCCAAGUUUUUAGUUUAGAAAAUAAUUUAUUUAAAAAAAGUUAAAGCGCUUUUGGGAGACAUUAAAUAAUUUUUAGAAAAUAUAGUUUUAAAAAAUAAAUUUCUUUAAAAAUACUUUUUUCUUAAUUCAAAUUAAAACAUAACCUAAAUUAAAUUGAAAAUAAGAAUUUAUUUUUAAAAAAUAAAAGAAAGAACAUGCGAUCAAGGGAUCCACAAUUUAAAAACAUGGUAGGGCCUCCUCUCCUCUCCUCUCCUCGUCCUCUUAGGUAGAAAAUUUAUGAUUGAUUUAAUAUGUACUAUGAACAAAGUACAGAGCACGUUUUAAUGUGAAUUAUUGGAACUUUUGGUAAAGGCGAUACAAAAAUGAAGAUGAGAUUUAAGUGGGUUCCGCCAAAGAAGAAGCCUACGUUCACUGUGAAAUCGGCCAUUGAAUGAGUUCAACCAGUUCAAUCAUUUUAUUAAUAUGAUAAAUAUGAAGAUUUGUUAUUUAUCUAUUUAAUUAAUACGAUAAAUAUAAAAAGAUAUAAUUCAAUUAUAGAAAGCCACAUCUUUAACGACGGAAUUUUAAAGGUAGGAAUCAAAGUAAAUAUGUUUUAAAAAUUCAGAUACUAAGAGAAGUAAUUUAAGAACUUUAGGAACAAAAUUGGUAUUUUAACAAUAAAUAAAUAAAUUGUGGUAUCCAAGACAUUAAUGGGAGUUGUUGAAGCCAAAAUAAAUAAUGAAGAGAGACUUUUUUUUUCUUUAAGUAAAAUAACGUAUGGUUGGAAAUUUGUAUUAAUUUUAUAUCGUUUUUAAAAUUAUUUGGAUGACAUCUAAAAUUGUCAUUCAAACAAAUUAACCAUAAUUAAGAACCACAAACAUAGAUAUUGAAACUUCCUUCCUCAAACUUAUUAAACACACAAACCAAUAUUAGUGUUUAAAUGUGUAAUAUCCAAAAGUUGAACAAUUAAAUAGAAAUAAAUAUUAUGGCAUAGAAGUUCAUAACCAUUCUCCCACUAUCCAUCUCUUAAAAACUAUGCUGGAUUCUUCUCGUAAAUAUUCUGGUGUAUGUCCUCCACCCUUAAAAAAAUUAUGAAAAAAAUAGCAAACAAAUCUGUCAAUUGUUAUACAACUAAUUGCUAAAAUCAUUUUUCUACUUCUUCAAAAUCAAGAUUCAAAAAAGUUUCGAAACAAAUAUUUUUCUUACUUUGACUGUUACAAAUGUCAUAUUAUUUGCAAAACUUCUGGUGUAUCUGCACAAACAAAAAUUGCUACUAAGUUUUCUUAAAGAUUAACGAUCAUACAUUGUAAUACAAAUAACAAUUACCCGCCAACUUCAUCCUCGAUGAACCAAGGCCUCCAAUCAUCUACUAUAGAAUAAUUUAAAGCUUUAAUCCAUGCAUGAGUUUCCAUAUGCGGCACUACCAUAUCAUGAUCUCCACUAUAUUCAAAACCACCGUAUUAAGCAAUUAAUCAAUGAGGCAUCAAUUAUUACAACAAGUCAUUUAACAUUCAAUUAUAUAUCACCUAUAGAUUAAUGAUCGAUAGCCUUUAGAACUAAGGUUCACGUGAUAAGGAAAAACACUGGUCAUCUCAAAAUUGUAAUAUUCUUUUCCACGACAUCUAAUCCAUUCUCCAAUGCUUCCCUAAACAAAAUCAAAUAAUUAUUUUUGGUACUCUUUCUUUCUAAAAUAAUUUAACCAUUCUCUUGAAAUAUUUUGUUACUGUACCUCAUGUAUAUGAAGUGCUUUUUGAACUUCGUCAUUGUUGGCCCAAUAGUAGGCAAGUAUGGCAUCAUGUUCCUGUAUAAACCAAUUGAUUCAUCAUAUAUGUGAAUUUUCUCAUCAAAAGGAAUAAGUUGUCUUAAUCAUUAUAUGAGGGAACUAUUGUGUUUAGUUAUUUCAUAAGGUAAUAUAAUUAACAUAUAUUAUGAUAAGGCGAAGAGAAAUUACACGACAUCUUUGGCCUACAAAAAUGCUGUUGAUCAGAGAUCUUCUUUGUCCAGACUUUGUUUGUGGUUCUUUUAAAGAUGAACAUUUGGACCAUAAAAUACACGAGUCUCUAACUACAGAAGUACACUUAGAAAAAAAAUACAAAUUGGAUAGAACAAUUAAUAUUUGAAAAAAAAAAACUAAGUGAAGGUUAAAAUAAUAAAUAGUUAUCGUAGAUAAUUUGUAAAAAUUACCUUUGUAAAUGUAUCAUAAUGUUUUAAGCACUCCACGUUGUUAGGAUCAAUGUUUACAUAUUCUCCUUGACAACUAGCUUCCAACGACUGUAAAUGAGGAAUUAAUUGAAGGUGAAAUCAUUUCUUUUUUGUUGCCUCUAUUUUCAUUUUGGUGUGUAUUUUUUCUUUAAUAUAUUUCAUUUGUUCACCUGAUACAAUUCAUCUGAGAUGAGGGCCAUAUUAUGAGCAAAUGGAAUUUGACAAUUUUCAUUUGCAUGAGGAAUAGUGAUGGGAUUCCCCAAUAUGUAUCCCUAACAUGAUAAGAAAAGGUACCACUUAGUAUGCUCUAACUUAGUAAAUAGUAAAUAGUAAGUAGCAAAGAUGAGAAUACGUAUGGAUGGAAUCACUUGCCUGGAAAUUUAUAAAUGAAAAAAUGUGUUUGUAAGUUCCUAUUACCCAAAUGAAUUAGGAAUGUAAAUAGCAAUUUAUCUAAUAACUCUAUCAUUACUUUUAUCAACAAAAACAAGAUUAUAUACCUUCUAAAAUUGCUAAAGCAACCAUUGGAACAAUCAUACCCGAAUAAGAAUUUCCAGAAAUAUAAAAUGGAUUUGAUAUAAAUUCUGGAUGAUCAUCGAACCACUGCAAAUUCCAAUUCAUUAAGAUUUUUAUUACUUAUGUAAAGAAAUAGCAAGAAAAAGAAGAACAUAUGUAUACCUUUUUCAAGAAUUGAAGAGAAUGUUGAACUUGUUCGUGAUCUCCUGAUAUAUGAUCUUUUGAGGUUUUGGCAUACGAAAAACCCGUGCCAACGGGUAAAUCUAGAUAUAGUAUACUGGUGUUCUAUUGAUCAUAUACACGAUAUAGGAUUAAACAUAAUUAGUCAUAUAGAAUUAAAGUAAUAAAUUUAGUUGAUUACGAACACACAAACAUAUAUAAGAAUGAAAUAAAGUGGAGAAAAUAUAUAAUAACAAAU